Molecule: ribosomal RNA, 454 nt
Filed under: uncultured bacterium
Lineage: Bacteria
Description: partial 16S ribosomal RNA
Rfam family: Bacterial small subunit ribosomal RNA
Source: RNAcentral
GAUGAACGCUGACAGAAUGCUUAACACAUGCAAGUCCACUUGAACUUCGGUUUGGGUGGCGGACGGGUGAGUAACGCGUACAGAACUUGCCUCACAGCUAGGGACAACAUUUGGAAACGAAUGCUAAUACCUGAUAUUAUGAUUUUAGGGCAUCCUAGAAUUAUGAAAGCUAUAUGCGCUGUGAGAGAGCUUUGCGUCCCAUUAGCUAGUUGGAGAGGUAACGGCUCACCAAGGCGAUGAUGGGUAGCCGGCCUGAGAGGGUGAACGGCCACAAGGGGACUGAGACACGGCCCUUACUCCUACGGGAGGCAACAGUGGGGAAUAUUGGACAAUGGACCAAGAGUCUGAUCCAGCAAUUCUGUGUGCACGAUGAAGUUUUUCGGAAUGUAAAGUGCUUUCAGUUGGGAAGAAAAAAAUGACGGUACCAACAGAAGAAGUGACGGCUAAAUACGUG